RNAcentral lists this transfer RNA (76 nucleotides) under Alphaproteobacteria bacterium. RNAcentral describes it as "tRNA-Thr". It matches the Rfam family "tRNA". Rfam says of the family: Transfer RNA (tRNA) molecules are approximately 80 nucleotides in length. Their secondary structure includes four short double-helical elements and three loops (D, anti-codon, and T loops). Further hydrogen bonds mediate the characteristic L-shaped molecular structure. tRNAs have two regions of fundamental functional importance: the anti-codon, which is responsible for specific mRNA codon recognition, and the 3' end, to which the tRNAs corresponding amino acid is attached (by aminoacyl-tRNA synthetases). tRNAs cope with the degeneracy of the genetic code in two manners: having more than one tRNA (with a specific anti-codon) for a particular amino acid; and 'wobble' base-pairing, i.e. permitting non-standard base-pairing at the 3rd anti-codon position. RNAcentral also lists the same sequence under 3 other names. The record is from RNAcentral. Lineage: Bacteria; Pseudomonadati; Pseudomonadota; Alphaproteobacteria.
GCCGCCUUAGCUCAGUUGGUAGAGCAUCGCAUUCGUAAUGCGAGGGUCGCAAGUUCGAGUCUUGCAGGCGGCACCA